GAUGAACGCUGGCGGCGUGCCUAACACAUGCAAGUCGAGCGGACGGACGAGGAGUUUGCUUCUCUGAUGUUAGCGGCGGACGGGUGAGUCACACGUGUAUACCCUACCUAUAAUACUGGGAUCACUUCGGGAAACCGGAUAUAAUACCGGAUGAUAUUUUGAACCGCAUGGUUCAUCAGUGAAAGCCGGUCUUGCUGUCACUUAUAGAUGGUUCCACGCUGCAUUGGCUAGUUGGUAGGGUAACGGCUUACCAAGGCGACGAUGCGUAGCCGAGGUGAGAGGGUGAUCGGCCACACGGGAACUGAGACACGGUCCAGACUCCUAAGGGAGGGAGCAGUCGGGAAUCUUCGGCAAUGGUGGAAAGCCUGACGCAGCGACGCCGCGUGUGUGAUGAAGGUCUUCGGAGCGUAAAGCUCUGUUAGGAGGGAAGAACAGAUGUGUAAGUAGACGUGGACAUCGUGACGGUACCUAGUCAAAAAGCAACGGCUAACUACGUG
RNAcentral lists this ribosomal RNA (497 nucleotides) under uncultured bacterium. RNAcentral describes it as "partial 16S ribosomal RNA". It matches the Rfam family "Bacterial small subunit ribosomal RNA", at positions 28 to 507 of the family's 1533-position model. The record is from RNAcentral.